Long non-coding RNA from Archocentrus centrarchus (flier cichlid), 338 nucleotides. RefSeq lists it as uncharacterized. The transcript is spliced from 3 exons. NCBI's taxonomy places the organism in Eukaryota, Metazoa, Chordata, Actinopteri, Cichliformes, Cichlidae. The record is from RefSeq and is a predicted model, not a curated record.
UAUGCCUUUAAGAAGAAGGUACAACACAGCCAACCAGGUACAUCCAUCUGUGAGUGCUGAUGGCAGUGCUGGAUCUGCACAGGUGGAACAACUUGACAAUGUAGAGGGUAAAGGAGAAACGCCAGGAACUCCAUCUACGUUGGCUCCAACUGCUACAGCAAUAAUUCAGCAGCUAAGAGACAAAAUUACUGUCCUUGAAGAUGAAAGAAAUUUCCUCAGAGAACAGCUGAAAAAAGCACUGGAUAACAUCCCUACUACUUCAGCAAAACGACAUCAUUCCCCCUCAAGUUCCAGUUCCUCAGAUUCAUCAGCCUCAGACUCUGAGUCGUCUUCUUCAC